Molecule: ribosomal RNA, 482 nt
Filed under: uncultured bacterium
Lineage: Bacteria
Description: partial 16S ribosomal RNA
Rfam family: Bacterial small subunit ribosomal RNA
Source: RNAcentral
AUUGAACGCUGGCGGCAUGCUUUACACAUGCAAGUCGAACGGUAACAGGCCGCAAGGUGCUCACGAGUGGCGAACGGGUGAGGAAUGCAUCGGAACGGGCCAAGUCGUUGGGGAUAACUACUCGAAAGAGUAACUAAUACCGCAUACGAUCUAUGGAUUAAAGCGGGGGACCGUAAAGCCUCGAGCGAUUGUAGCGGCCGAUGUCAGAUUAGGUAGUUGGUAGGGUAAAGGCUCACCAAGCCAACGAUCAGUAGCUGGUCUGAGAGGACGACCAGCCACACUGGGACUGAGACACGGCCCAGACUCCUACGGGAGGCAGCAGUGGGGAAUUUUCGACAAUGGGCGCAAGCCUGAUCGAGCAAUGCCGCGUGCAGGAAGAAGGCCUUCGGGUUGUAAACUGCUUUUGUACGGGAAGAAAAGGCUUUGGUUAAUCCCCGGAGAUCAUGACGGUACCGAAAGAAUAAGCCCCGGCUAACUACGUG